Molecule: long non-coding RNA, 1500 nt
Organism: Eriocheir sinensis (Chinese mitten crab)
Lineage: Eukaryota; Metazoa; Arthropoda; Malacostraca; Decapoda; Varunidae
Exons: 5
Source: RefSeq, a predicted model, not a curated record
AUACACUCGUAGGUUCAAACUCAGCUUCACAUAUACACUCGUAGGUUCAAACUCAGCUUCACAUAUACACUCGUAGGUUCAAACUCAGCUUCACAUAUACACUCGUAGGUUCAAACUCAGCUUCACAUAUACACUCGUAGGUUCAAACUCAGCUUCACAUAUACACUCGUAGGUUCAAACUCAGCCUCACAUAUACACUCGUAGGUUCAAACUCAGCUUCACAUAUACACUCGUAGGUUCAAACUCAGCCUCACAUAUACACUCGUAGGUUCAAACUCAGCUUCACAUAUACACUCGUAGGUUCAAACUCAGCUUCACAUAUACACUCGUAGAUUCAAACUCAGCUUCACAUAUACACUCGUAGAUUCAAACUCAGCCUCACAUAUACACUCGUAGGUUCAAACUCAGCUUGACAUUUACACGCGUAGAUUCAAAUUCACUUGUAGAUUCAAACGUAGAUUCAAACUUCCAGCUUUACACUCAAAUUUAGCUUUACACUCAAAAUCAGCUUCAUACUGAAUCUCAGGUUUAUAUUCAAAUUCAACUUUACACAAAAUUCAAAUUCAGCUUUACUCUCAAACUGAGAUUUAGCUUUACACUUACAGGCUUUCGAAUUCAGUUUAAAGAUUCAGAUUAAACAGUCAUAUUCAUUGAGUAAUUUAUGACUCCGAUGUACCGUUCCCUUGAAGUUUGUUUAUUCAUUUGCCUGUUUAUUUAUUUAUUUAUUGUGCUUGUGUGUCAGGGUUGGUCUCCUAAGCUACAAUGAAUAGUUCUUUUGGUGAAGGUUCUGUAAAUAUUCUUAAAUAUCUCUGGACACACAUCCACACUUGAUAAAACGUUUGUAUAGGUUGUCGGUAUUUCCAUGGGUAGUUUUGUAAACCUAGUGAUAGUUUAACAAGGCAUCUGCAACACGAACGUGAAAAACACUCAUGAGAACCCGAGUAAUCUCCUUUCUGGCCUUGGGGAAUGUUGUUGUGAGAGCCAAGAGCGUCUGAGAAUACGGGCCUGAACUAAUACUCUUGUGUCGCCUCGUCAUAGUGAAGCUACAACGCAAGUCUUAUGUUUAUUUUCUCUGCAUCUAUGGUUACUUUGAUGGUCACUCCUGUUUGCUUUUGUAGGAGCAGCGGUUAGUUUUUAUAGUUUUUUUUUUCUUUGUUUAUUGCCCUUGAGCAGUUUCCUUUACCGUCAAAAUAUGGUUGAUGUUCUUAAACGCUACCAACUCUCACCUCAGUUACCAAAGGCCAAAAAGGAGAUCAAUCGAAUUUUAAUUAGUGUUUUUAUAGGUUCGUGGUACAGAAGAAGGGUCAAACUACCACCAGGGUCAUAAAACUACCCUUGGAAAGGCCCACAACUCCUACGAAAGCCGUGUCAGAUGUGCUUGGGCGCCGAAAUGUUUAAGAAUAUGACCUUAAGUUUGGUUUCAGAAGUUCCAUCCCAACAUAGCGUUAUACUUUGAUUCUCAUUUAGGAAAGUUCGAUUUAUUAUACGUAUACCACUUUC